RNAcentral lists this long non-coding RNA (306 nucleotides) under Nicotiana benthamiana. RNAcentral describes it as "long non-coding RNA (NBEN_LNC028744)". The record is from RNAcentral. Lineage: Eukaryota; Viridiplantae; Streptophyta; Magnoliopsida; Solanales; Solanaceae.
UGAUAGUGAGGAGUAUUCUUUCAUUUCAGAGUUUGCUGGAAAUGGCAAUGAUGAUGAUGAUGAUGAUCAUGAUGAUGAGGCUAACGAUAGUGGAGACACGAGUGCAGUUCACCACUGAUCAGUCGUCCUCCCAUAGUCUGCUAGUCUGUCGCAGACCUCAGUGAGACCCACACACUCUUUUUAUGCUUUAUAUGAGAUAUUGUGUACUGAGGAUACUGCAAAGCUUUUAGUUGGGCGUGGCAAAUUUAGCACUGUAUUCAUAUUUUGUUACAUUAUGUGCCCUUGCCGGGCUUAUGCUUAUGUAUG